UCCAUCAAGCUAGGCAUCAAAAGAUCAUGAAAAAAACAUGAACAGAAGACUUUGCUGUGCUACCAAUGCCAUUGCCAAUCGGAUUGUCAUAUAACUUUGUCUUUACAUUUUCUGUGGGGUGAGAGCUGCUUUCUUCUAAAUAAUGCAAUCACAAGUGUGUGUGGGUAACUUGUUCUUCUGUGGCAGCUAGUUAAGCUGUCGAAUCGGAGACGAAGAUUUACGGUUGCUGCUAUAGCUAUGGAGCAGAAUUAAUGGAAUUACUGCUUUUAAGACCAGUGGCGAAGCUACAGAGGCGCAAGGAGGUGCGGCUGCAAUUUUAAUGGAGUAGGCUGUUUCUUUUGGUUUCAGGCACAAAAAUCUGUUUUUCUGUUUUGUUUUUUCUUAUAGUUUUGGAUUGGGUUUCCAGCCGCAGACUUGAGCGUAACUAAGUUGGCUUGAGCAAUUUACCCCCUAUGCAUUCAAGUUCGAAUUCCCCACUCAUAAGUUCAGAUAAAUUUAGUGUAGACUAUCGCUCGAAUUAGAAAACAAGGACGUUUUUGGACCGAGUCUGAUUCUUGCCAAACACUUGCACAAAUUGAUUUUGGAAUUUCAAUAGAGGAAAUCCUUCUUCCUGUGUAAAAUUUAGAGAUAGGGGAUGAGGGGGCCGUUCUAUUGGAGAGUUAGCCCUUUCUAAUCGUCUGAGCGGGAAGGAAGUAGCUACUUGUAGUUGAUGGUUAAUCCUGGGGUCUUGGUUAUUUCUUUCCGCCUUGUGUGGGUUUAGAGAGUAAGGCUUCUACUAUUGUAGUCACACCAAGCCUUAUGGGUGGUUCGAUAAAAAAAAAUCUUUUCCAUUUUCGGGUUUUCGUUUAUUCAUGUUGAUUUCAGCAGAGUUUUGGUUUUGAAACAUCCUUACAACCAACACCAGAAUGUUAAAAGUUACUUUCAUGUCUUCCUUUUCAGCUUGAGGUUUCAAGCAUUCAAAAUGUAUGUGCAAAGACAAACUUACACAAGAAGAAAUAUUAGCUGCGUCUGAAUUAGCAGCAACAAUCAUAUGUUUGAUUACUCUCGUUAAUUAGUUCGUAGCGUAUCCAUACCAAAUUCCCGAAAUCAGCUUUGUAGAGGGGAGAGGAAAGCGAAAACCUAGUGACCGGAGACUAUGAACAAGACUGGUUCGGAAAGGCCGAAGCCAUGGAACGGAUAUACUACAAGUACAGACCCUAGCCCGUCUCAAGCAGGAGGGAUCGAUCGACAAGUGCAAUGGCAAAGCUACGGAACAUCAUCCAUGAGCGCGAUUUCUUAUGGUUUUGUAGCCACGGCUAUCUUGGUUUCCAUGUUUCUUAUCAUGGCCAUCUUUGAACAUUUGUUUAGGCCAAGUCCUAAUCCCUUCUCCACACCUCAAUCUCUCCCUCGUGCUUCUCUAGAGUCUGCACAUUUCGACAAGCAUGGAAGAAUUAAUCGACAAACUGUUUCGACAUUGUGUGCGCCGGAUUUCUCAGUAGUGAUGCCGGGAGAGCAGUGUCCGACCUACAUUGCGCAACGGGCUCCUCUCCCGACGUGCUCCAGGGAAGGGGUGCAUUGGCCUUCCCAUGAACAUAAUAAAUUUGUACUUCCUCCUUAGGAUGAUUGUAGAGGAUGAUACUUUCACCGAGGCAUUGAAUUAUGGUACUGAGAGAGGGUGUUUGUAUAUUAGUUUUACCAAAUCAUGAUGUUUCUUCACCAUAUAAUAAUCAACAAUUGACUACUUGGGGUUUACAAUUGUCAAAAAUCAAAUA
Molecule: non-coding RNA, 1751 nt
Organism: Malus domestica (apple)
Lineage: Eukaryota; Viridiplantae; Streptophyta; Magnoliopsida; Rosales; Rosaceae
Source: RefSeq, a predicted model, not a curated record